RNAcentral lists this ribosomal RNA (865 nucleotides) under Curvularia geniculata. RNAcentral describes it as "partial large subunit ribosomal RNA". It matches the Rfam family "Eukaryotic large subunit ribosomal RNA", at positions 77 to 960 of the family's 3401-position model. The record is from RNAcentral. Lineage: Eukaryota; Fungi; Ascomycota; Dothideomycetes; Pleosporales; Pleosporaceae.
GCCUUAGUAACGGCGAGUGAAGCGGCAACAGCUCAAAUUUGAAAUCUGGCUCUUUCAGAGUCCGAGUUGUAAUUUGCAGAGGGCGCUUUGGCUUUGGCAGCGGUCCAAGUUCCUUGGAACAGGACGUCACAGAGGGUGAGAAUCCCGUACGUGGUCGCUAGCUAUUGCCGUGUAAAGCCCCUUCGACGAGUCGAGUUGUUUGGGAAUGCAGCUCUAAAUGGGAGGUAAAUUUCUUCUAAAGCUAAAUAUUGGCCAGAGACCGAUAGCGCACAAGUAGAGUGAUCGAAAGAUGAAAAGCACUUUGGAAAGAGAGUCAAACAGCACGUGAAAUUGUUGAAAGGGAAGCGCUUGCAGCCAGACUUGCUUGCAGUUGCUCAUCCGGGCUUUUGCCCGGUGCACUCUUCUGCAGGCAGGCCAGCAUCAGUUUGGGCGGUGGGAUAAAGGUCUCUGACACGUUCCUUCCUUCGGGUUGGCCAUAUAGGGGAGACGUCAUACCACCAGCCUGGACUGAGGUCCGCGCAUCUGCUAGGAUGCUGGCGUAAUGGCUGUAAGCGGCCCGUCUUGAAACACGGACCAAGGAGUCUAACAUCUAUGCGAGUGUUUGGGUGUCAAGCCCGAGCGCGUAAUGAAAGUGAACGGAGGUGGGAACCCGCAAGGGCGCACCAUCGACCGAUCCUGAAGUUUACGGAAGGAUUUGAGUAAGAGCAUGGCUGUUGGGACCCGAAAGAUGGUGAACUAUGCUUGAAUAGGGUGAAGCCAGAGGAAACUCUGGUGGAGGCUCGCAGCGGUUCUGACGUGCAAAUCGAUCGUCAAAUUUGGGCAUAGGGGCGAAAGACUAAUCGAACUAUCUAGUAGCUAGUUCCUG